Molecule: ribosomal RNA, 465 nt
Filed under: uncultured bacterium
Lineage: Bacteria
Description: partial 16S ribosomal RNA
Rfam family: Bacterial small subunit ribosomal RNA
Source: RNAcentral
CUACGGGACGCUGCAGUCGAGAAGCUUCGGCAAUGGACGAAAGUCUGACCGAGCGACGCCGCGUGAGCGAUGAAGGCCCUAGUGGUCGUAAAGCUCUGUCAGGAGGGAAUAAAUGCCUGCGGUUAAUACCCGCAGGAGUUGAAGGUACCUCCAGAGGAAGCGCCGGCUAACUACGUGCCAGCAGCCGCGGUAAUACGUAGGGCGCAAACGUUGUUCGGAUUUACUGGGUUUAAAGGGUUCGUAGGCGGGCUUGUAAGUCAGAGGUGAAAGCCAACGGCUCAACCGUUGAAUUGCCUCUGAUACUGCAAGUCUCGAGUCCGUUAGGAGAUGGUGGAAUUCCUGGUGUAGCGGUGAAAUGCGUAAAUAUCAGGAGGAACACCGGUGGCGAAGGCGGCCAUCUGGGACGGUACUGACGCUGAGGAACGAAAGCAUGGGUAUCAAACGGGAUUAGAUACCCUCGUAGUC